UUGAUCUUGAUAUUGUAGUUAAGGCAGAAACAGAAGUUAAUUCACUUAUCGUCAAAGGCCGUAGAGUAACGACACACACAUUUUCCUCGCUUGAGGAAGCAAAGCGUGAGAUUCCUAACUUGCGUGCAAACGAGGAGAGAAUAUCAGCGGCCACCCCUUCUGAGGUCAAAGUUGUAGAGAUCGAAAAUCACGACAUAUCGGCUUGCGCAAUGGCACAUGCCAACAAUCUGCAAGAAUGCGAUUUUUUUCUAGUCACGC
This 258-nucleotide unclassified non-coding RNA is filed under the name uncultured fungus. Its description in RNAcentral is "sequence contains ITS1". Lineage: Eukaryota; Fungi. The record is from RNAcentral.